Choloepus didactylus (southern two-toed sloth) is the source of this 107-nucleotide small nuclear RNA. NCBI's taxonomy places the organism in Eukaryota, Metazoa, Chordata, Mammalia, Pilosa, Megalonychidae. The record is from RefSeq and is a predicted model, not a curated record.
GUGCUUGCUUCAGCAGCACAUACUCUAAAAUUGUAACAAUACAUAGAAGAUUAGCAUGGCCCCUGUGAAAAGAUGGCAUGUAAAUUUGUGACACAUGCCAUACUAUU